UUUCCGUAGGUGAACCUGCGGAAGGAUCAUUAUAAAUGAAAAACGAAUAACUUCAGGGAAGAAGGGAACCUGCACGGUGACCUCCCCUGUCGGGCCACCCAAUACCUUCAAAAUGCCGCCGUCCUAGCGGUGGCAGACGAAAAAAAAACAAGAAAAACAAAAUAGAAACAGGCACGGUGGCCCGUUCACCUUCACACAACCCUCCGAGUACCGCUUCCAUGUUGCUUCCCCGCAAAUCCAUCUCUUUGGUGAGCGCGGGGGAGGUCCGCAUCAAAUUCACCUGAAUGUCACAGCAGUCAGACAGCCAUUCAUGGAAACAAUAAAACUUUCAACAACGGAUCUCUUGGUUCCC
RNAcentral lists this unclassified non-coding RNA (352 nucleotides) under plant metagenome. RNAcentral's name for it is "partial contains small subunit ribosomal RNA, internal transcribed spacer 1, and 5.8S ribosomal RNA". The record is from RNAcentral.